This 90-nucleotide non-coding RNA is filed under the name Pseudomonas sp. LAMO17WK12:I5. RNAcentral also lists the same sequence under 1 other name. The record is from RNAcentral. Lineage: Bacteria; Pseudomonadati; Pseudomonadota; Gammaproteobacteria; Pseudomonadales; Pseudomonadaceae.
UGUGGGAGCGGGCUUGCUCGCGAAGGCGGUGGGUCAGUCAAAAUAUAGAGUGACUGAUCUAUCGCAUUCGCGAGCAAGCCCGCUCCCACA